CUUUUGUUCAUAUUGUAAGUAUAGUUCUGCUUAGUGCAGUGCAGCAAUGUGUGGAACACCGCUUCGCAGUACUACGAUCGGCCAAUUCUUCGAAUUCAAUUAAGAAAAUGUUCAGCGUCUGCAAGUAUGGGGUAAUUCCAUGAAAUAGCGCUGCUUGCAGUUUGCGCACCUACUAAAAGACGGUCGCUGCUCAGAACACUGCAGGUCUAUUCCACUUGAAAUGGAAAUUCUCAGCCAUCGUUAGCUUCUUUCUGCUACUCUCAACAGACAUAGGAAUCUCCACCGAUGGUUCUAACGAUGGGACCGCAUCCCCCAAUGGUACGCCAGCAACAACCGAUUCUUCUGAUACUUCGGACCCACCGACACCACCCAUCAAGAAGCGGAAGACAAUUUGAAGACCUUGACAGAUGGAAUUUUGAAGGAGGUAGGAGCACAGAAUGAAAUGCAGAGCGAUUUCAUUGGACCGCCACCUUGCAAUGCAUUCGCGUGACGACAUUACCUUCAUAAUAAUUUGCCUUGAAGAACAAAAUUGUUCUUUACUGUUGCUGCUGGAGUGGUGACCUCAGCCAGUUGAUGCCUUGAUCAUCAACUGGCUGGUGAAGCCACUGCAGCAGCAACAGUCCAGACCAAUCUUGUUAUUGAAGACAAAGUUAGGACCGUCGCGAAGAGAAAUCUGGACUUGGACUACCUCCUAAUAUCAUUUUUAUAACGUUUUUACAAAUUGAGUAAAAUGUAAUCAAUACUUGGACUAAUCUUAAAUUGU
Drosophila miranda is the source of this 763-nucleotide long non-coding RNA. RefSeq lists it as uncharacterized. The record is from RefSeq and is a predicted model, not a curated record. The transcript is spliced from 3 exons. NCBI's taxonomy places the organism in Eukaryota, Metazoa, Arthropoda, Insecta, Diptera, Drosophilidae.